GACGAACGCUGGCGGCGUGCUUAACACAUGCAAGUCGAACGGAAAGGCCCUGCUUUUGUGGGGUGCUCGAGUGGCGAACGGGUGAGUAACACGUGAGUAACCUGCCCUUGACUUUGGGAUAACUUCAGGAAACUGGGGCUAAUACCGGAUAGGAGCUCCUGCUGCAUGGUGGGGGUUGGAAAGUUUCGGCGGUUGGGGAUGGACUCGCGGCUUAUCAGCUUGUUGGUGGGGUAGUGGCUUACCAAGGCUUUGACGGGUAGCCGGCCUGAGAGGGUGACCGGCCACAUUGGGACUAAGAUACGGCCCAGACUCCUACGGGAGGCAGCAGUGGGGAAUAUUGCACAAUGGGCGGAAGCCUGAUGCAGCAACGCCGCGUGCGGGAUGACGGCCUUCGGGUUGUGAACCGCUUUCGCCUGUGACGAAGCGUGAGUGACGGUAAUGGGUAAAGAAGCACCGGCUAACUACGU
RNAcentral lists this ribosomal RNA (467 nucleotides) under uncultured bacterium. RNAcentral describes it as "partial 16S ribosomal RNA". It matches the Rfam family "Bacterial small subunit ribosomal RNA", at positions 28 to 506 of the family's 1533-position model. The record is from RNAcentral.